This 305-nucleotide ribosomal RNA is filed under the name uncultured bacterium. RNAcentral's name for it is "bacterial SSU rRNA". It matches the Rfam family "Bacterial small subunit ribosomal RNA", at positions 337 to 634 of the family's 1533-position model. The record is from RNAcentral.
GCCUACGGGGCGCAGCAGUAGGGAAUCUUCCACAAUGGGCGAAAGCCUGAUGGAGCAACGCCGCGUGGGUGAAGAAGGUCUUCGGAUCGUAAAACCCUGUGGUUAGAGAAGAAAGUGCGUGAGAGUAACUGUUCACGUUUCGACGGUAUCUAACCAGAAAGCCAAGGCUAACUACGUGCCAGCAGCCGCGGUAAUACGUAGGUGGCAAGCGUUAUCCGGAUUUAUUGGGCGUAAAGGGAACGCAGGCGGUCUUUUAAGUCUGAUGUGAAAGCCUUCGGCUUAACCGGAGUAGUGCAUUGGAAACU